AAGCUGUUCUCCUAACUUGGCCUUGCUGCAGAGAUGUUUGGUCUGCUUGUGCUUGCCUGUUGCAAAUCAGCUCCCAUCUGCACCAACUAUGUCCUGACCUUCGCGGGGAGUUCAGACAGCCUCCCAAAAGUUACGAGGGAGGAGAGCCGAGCUGGAGGAGGAAGAGGAGCGUGAGAGUGAAUGAACGGACGUCCAGACUUAUUCUGAAGGGACUUCUAAAGGAAACGGCUUGGACAUUGUCAAGAACAGUUUGAAUUCCCUGCAGCUGAAGACUUCUCAUGGUGAUGGAUGACAGG
Long non-coding RNA from Perca flavescens (yellow perch), 296 nucleotides. RefSeq lists it as uncharacterized. NCBI's taxonomy places the organism in Eukaryota, Metazoa, Chordata, Actinopteri, Perciformes, Percidae. The record is from RefSeq and is a predicted model, not a curated record. The transcript has 3 exons.